This 734-nucleotide ribosomal RNA is filed under the name uncultured marine bacterium. RNAcentral describes it as "bacterial SSU rRNA". It matches the Rfam family "Bacterial small subunit ribosomal RNA", at positions 59 to 841 of the family's 1533-position model. The record is from RNAcentral.
CAGUCGAACGAAGUAGCAAUACUUAGUGGCAGACGGGUGAGUAACAUGUAGGUAUCUGCCCUUUGGCCUGGAAUAACACGAGGAAACUUGUGCUAAUACCGGAUAAGUCUUAACGGAGAAAGCUUUAUGCACCAUUGGAUGAGCCUGCACUUGAUUAGUUUGUUGGUGGGGUAAUGGCCUACCAAGACUGUGAUCAAUAGCUGAUUUGAGAGGAUGAUCAGCCACAUUGGGACUGAGACACGGCCCAAACUCCUACGGGAGGCAGCAGUGGGGAAUCUUGCACAAUGGAGGAAACUCUGAUGCAGCGAUGCCGCGUGAGUGAAGAGGGCCCUUGGGUUGUAAAGCUCUUUCGUCGGGGAAGAAAAUGACUGUACCCGAAUAAGAAGGUCCGGCUAACUUCGUGCCAGCAGCCGCGGUAAUACGAAGGGACCUAGCGUAGUUCGGAAUUACUGGGCUUAAAGAGUUCGUAGGUGGUUGAAAAAGUUGGUGGUGAAAUCCCAGAGCUUAACUCUGGAACUGCCAUCAAAACUUUUCAGCUAGAGUAUGAUAGAGGAAAGCAGAAUUUCUAGUGUAGAGGUGAAAUUCGUAGAUAUUAGAAAGAAUACUAAUUGCGAAGGCAGCUUUCUGGAUCAUUACUGACACUGAGGAACGAAAGCAUGGGUAGCGAAGAGGAUUAGAUACCCUCGUAGUCCAUGCCGUAAACGAUGUGUGUUAGACGUUGGAAAUUUAUUUUC